GACGAACGCUGGCGGCGUGCCUAAUACAUGCAAGUCGAGCGGACUGAAUGGGAGCUUGCUCUUGUUCGGUCAGCGGCGGACGGGUGAGUAACACGUGGGCAACCUGCCCGCAAGACCGGGAUAACUCCGGGAAACCGGAGCUAAUACCGGAUAACACCGAAGACCGCAUGGUCUUUGGGUGAAAGGCGGCGCAAGCUGCCACUUGCGGAUGGGCCCGCGGCGCAUUAGCUAGUUGGUGAGGUCACGGCUCACCAAGGCGACGAUGCGUAGCCGGCCUGAGAGGGUGCCCGGCCACACUGGGACUGCGACACGGCCCAGACUCCUACGGGAGGCAGCAGUAGGGAAUCUUCCGCAAUGGGCGAAAGCCUGACGGAGCGACGCCGCGUGAGCGAAGAAGGCCUUCGGGUCGUAAAGCUCUGUUGUGAGGGACGAAGGAGCGCCGUUUGAAGAAGGCGGCGCGGUGACGGUACCUCACGAGGAAGCCCCGGCUAACUACGUG
RNAcentral lists this ribosomal RNA (499 nucleotides) under uncultured bacterium. RNAcentral's name for it is "partial 16S ribosomal RNA". It matches the Rfam family "Bacterial small subunit ribosomal RNA", at positions 28 to 507 of the family's 1533-position model. The record is from RNAcentral.